This 253-nucleotide ribosomal RNA is filed under the name uncultured prokaryote. RNAcentral describes it as "partial 16S ribosomal RNA". It matches the Rfam family "Bacterial small subunit ribosomal RNA", at positions 525 to 777 of the family's 1533-position model. The record is from RNAcentral.
ACGAAGGGUGCAAGCGUUACUCGGAAUUACUGGGCGUAAAGCGUGCGUAGGUGGUUUGUUAAGUCUGAUGUGAAAGCCCUGGGCUCAACCUGGGAAUGGCACUGGAUACUGGCAAGCUAGAGUGUGGCAGAGGGUAGUGGAAUUCCUGGUGUAGCAGUGAAAUGCGUAGAGAUCAGGAGGAACAUCCGUGGCGAAGGCGACUGCCUGGGCCAACACUGACACUGAGGCACGAAAGCGUGGGGAGCAAACAGGA